UCCAGACUCCUACGGGAGGCAGCAGUGGGGAAUAUUGCACAAUGGGGGAAACCCUGAUGCAGCGACGCCGCGUGAGCGAUGAAGUAUUUCGGUAUGUAAAGCUCUAUCAGCAGGGAAGAAAAUGACGGUACCUGACUAAGAAGCCCCGGCUAACUACGUGCCAGCAGCCGCGGUAAUACGUAGGGGGCAAGCGUUAUCCGGAUUUACUGGGUGUAAAGGGAGCGUAGACGGCGGUGCAAGCCAGGGGUGAAAGCCCGGGGCCCAACCCCGGGACUGCCCUUGGAACUGCUUGGCUGGAGUGCGGGAGGGGCAGGCGGAAUUCCUAGUGUAGCGGUGAAAUGCGUAGAUAUUAGGAGGAACACCAGCGGCGAAGGCGGCUUACUGGACCGUGACUGACGUUGAGGCUCGAAAGCGUGGGGAGCAAACAGGAUUAGAUACCCCUGUA
RNAcentral lists this ribosomal RNA (445 nucleotides) under uncultured bacterium. RNAcentral's name for it is "bacterial SSU rRNA". It matches the Rfam family "Bacterial small subunit ribosomal RNA", at positions 330 to 792 of the family's 1533-position model. The record is from RNAcentral.